Molecule: unclassified non-coding RNA, 161 nt
Filed under: uncultured Helotiales
Lineage: Eukaryota; Fungi; Ascomycota; Leotiomycetes; Helotiales
Description: sequence contains ITS1
Source: RNAcentral
CAGAGAACUUGCCCUUCGGGGUAGAUCUCCCAACCCUUUGUUUAACAUUCCUUUGUUGCUUUGGCAGGCCAGGCAAUAGUCUACCGGCUUAGGCUGGCUAGUGCCUGCCAGAGGACCCAAACUCUUUAAUAAUGUCCGUCUGAGUACUAUAAAAUAGAUAA